CAGUUUUCAAACGAGCAAGCUGUCUUCUAUUUCAGUGUACGAGUAUCUUGUCUAUCAUAACGUUCGUUACGAAUUGGCAGCAACACUGGUGGAACAUCAACGAGCGACAAUUCAUCUUCUGGAUAUUCUGUGUCCUUUGUACCUCUGUUCAGUCUUCUUAUGAAUUUCUUCCCACGACUGUUCAGCAGGUUCAGCGGUGUUAACCAUGGUGGAUCUCGAAAACUUGGACGUGCCUCCAAAGAACUGGGUGAAAGUGAAUAUAUCCACAUCAAAGUGAACGGCAGUUUCUGUGACCCUUCCCAC
This is a long non-coding RNA of Cryptotermes secundus, 303 nucleotides long. RefSeq lists it as uncharacterized. Lineage: Eukaryota; Metazoa; Arthropoda; Insecta; Blattodea; Kalotermitidae. The transcript has 3 exons. The record is from RefSeq and is a predicted model, not a curated record.